Molecule: long non-coding RNA, 301 nt
Filed under: Sus scrofa (pig)
Lineage: Eukaryota; Metazoa; Chordata; Mammalia; Artiodactyla; Suidae
Description: lncRNA (ENSSSCG00070002868.1)
Source: RNAcentral
CAUUUUAAAUAGGAAGUUUCAAUAGAUCUGAAUUCUCCCUCUAGUUCUCCCUCAUGAUGUUUACAUUUACCUUUUUUUUUUUUUUUUUAUUUUAUUGCAGCCAGUCUUCGGAAAACAAAUGGAGAACUUCAGGAUGAAAACGCCAGUCUUCGGAAAACAAAUGGAGAACUUCAGGAUGAAAACGGAAGCUUUCUUUUCCUGGGCCCUCCACCACGACAUCUAGAUGCAGUGCUCGCUGUGUUGUAUUUGACAUUGUCCCGGUUGUUACUGGAAUGGUUCCGAUUCCAACCCUGGUUGCAGG